This 403-nucleotide ribosomal RNA is filed under the name uncultured bacterium. RNAcentral's name for it is "bacterial SSU rRNA". It matches the Rfam family "Bacterial small subunit ribosomal RNA", at positions 28 to 418 of the family's 1533-position model. The record is from RNAcentral.
GAUGAACGCUGGCGGCGUGCCUCAUGCAUGCAAGUCGAACGGGAACACUUUGAGUAGCAAUACUUGGGGUGUUCUAGUGGCGAUCGGGUGAGUAACACGUAGGUGACCUACCCCAAAGAGGGGGAUAACGGCCCGAAAGGGCUGCUAAUACCCCAUGUGAUUGACGAUUCAUUUCGUUAAUGAAAGCUUCCGCAAGGAGUGUGCUUUGGGAGGGGCCUGCGGCGGAUUAGAUUGUUGGUGGGGUAAUGGCCUACCAAGUCGAUGAUCCGUAGCUAGUCUGAGAGGACGAUUAGCCACACUGGCACUGACACACGGGCCAGACUCCUACGGGAGGCAGCAGCAGGGAAUAUUGCACAAUGGGCAAAGCCUGAUGCAGCAACGCCGCGUGAGGGAUGAAGGUCUU